UCUAAGAGCUCACAGCUCUGCUCUGUGUGUUUCUCUGACAGAGACAGGCACUAUUGUCUAAUGUCUUUAGACAGCUGAAGCGGACAGAAAUGUGUGUUCUUCAUCUUUCACAAGUUUUAAUUAGCAGGAAGGCGAGAGAAGAGGAGAUACCAGUUAAUGAGCAAAACCUGCAUUGACAAUCACAGUCUAUGGUUGGUAGCACUGCUCCUUUCAACAGAGCCCAGAUAAUCAUCAGAGAAAACCAUCAUAAUUACCAGGAGAAGAAGUGCAGAGGAGGUACCUGGUGAUCCACCUGAUGGGGGCGGACCUCAACAAUAUUGUCAAGUGUCAGAAACUGACGGACGACCACGUUCAGUUCCUCAUAUACCAGAUCCUCCGGGGUCUCAAGUAUAUCCAUUCAGCAGACAUCAUCCACAGAG
Molecule: non-coding RNA, 419 nt
Organism: Salmo salar (Atlantic salmon)
Lineage: Eukaryota; Metazoa; Chordata; Actinopteri; Salmoniformes; Salmonidae
Source: RefSeq, a predicted model, not a curated record